CUAUUCACCCCAUUUUACGGUAUUGAUUUUCAAACAAGAAUUAGAUUACAGCGAUGGUCAAAAGCAUUUAGAUAUUGCUUUGAAAUCUACAGAUAAGGUAUGGCAGUUUCGUUUUAAAGAACAAGAUGUUAAAGUUUAUGAUAAAAUUGUCAUCAGAAAUACUGUCCACUUGCAGUAUUUACAUAGGAAAAUGUUGGAGGAUGAAGCUCUACCUACUGCCUCAGAGCAACAACAGAAUAAAAAACCAAAAUAUGAACACCAGCAACUAAAACAGGAACCAUUAAAUGAAUAUUAUAUACAGAUCAACAUUUUGUAGAGCAAUAACAGCAUCAAAUAAUGGAAAUAAUGGACCUUAUUGCACAAAUCAAAAACAAAAUUUCAGCAUUACUACUUUAUUGGUUAUAUCAAUAAAAGAAAUUGAGUUUAUCAGUCUAGAUCCUACAAGUAAGCAGAUCUAUCACAUAAUUUUAAAUGAAGAUUUAUCUAUCAUAGUAUGUAUAAACACUUUGCAUCUUUUAUUCAAUGUUGUAAUGAAUUAACAAAUUCCAGGUAAUUUAUUCUAAUAACGAAAAAAAAACUUUGGAUCAAAAAAUAUUUUCUUCUGAUGAGGUUUAUGAAUAUUAAAGUCUGUUGAAGUUUGGCCAUUAUGUGUUGGUAUACAAUUUAUUUAUGAUGUUACAGUAUCCGAGUACGAAACAUGUUUAAAAUCCACUAUUCUUAAUGAAUGGAAACUACCAACUUGAGAGGAAGCUAAGAGAAAGGUUCUAUUGGGUGGACUACAAGGAAAAGGGAUAUACAUGAGGAUGGAAGGGCUAUAACAUUACGUCUCAAGCCAUGGGACAAUAGGAAACGAAAUUCAAAGGAAAAUAUUACAAUACGUGGGAUGCAAAUUAUAGUGCAAAGAAUUGAGAAAAAGAAUUAUUAAAAGUAGUUAUUGUUACGAUAGUUAAACCAUCCGACUACCAAAUAUAUUUAAAAUCCACUAUUCUGAAUGAAUAGCAACUACCAACUUGGGAGGAAGCUGCGAGAACGAUUCUAUUGGGUGAACUACAAGGAAGACAUGAGGAUCUGGAAGGGCUAUAAAAUUAUAUUAUUCCACGUCCCAAGCCAUGUUGGAAUAGCUGGGAGUGAAAAA
This is a long non-coding RNA of Sitophilus oryzae (rice weevil), 1135 nucleotides long. RefSeq lists it as uncharacterized. NCBI's taxonomy places the organism in Eukaryota, Metazoa, Arthropoda, Insecta, Coleoptera, Curculionidae. The record is from RefSeq and is a predicted model, not a curated record. The transcript is spliced from 3 exons.